GCUACCUCUUAACAAAAACUGCUGUUUCUAGACCUUUGUUUUUGGUUUUGGAUGACAAUUUUUAUUAUCAGAGUAUGAGAUAUGAAGUCUACCAGCUGGCUCGGAAAUAUUCAUUGGGCUUUUGCCAGCUCUUUUUAGAUUGUCCUCUUGAGACCUGUUUACAGAGGAAUGGCCAGAGGCCACAGGCACUGCCUCCUGAGACCAUCCACCUGAUGGGAAGAAAGCUAGAAAAGCCCAACCCUGAGAAAAAUGCUUGGGAACACAACAGCCUCACAAUUCCGAGUCCAGCAUGUGCUUCAGAGUCCAGCCUGGAGGUGACUGAUUUAUUGCUCACUGCUUUGGAAAAUCCAGUAAAAUAUGCUGAGGACAAUAUGGAACAAAAGAUGAACAAGUGCUUCCUCACAACUUGAAGCUUCUAGCAGAAGAACUUAACAAGCUCAAAGCAGAGUUUUUGGAAGACCUAAAACAAGGAAACAAAAAAUAUCUGUGCUUUCAUCAAACCAUUGACAUAUCAGAUGUCAUUUCUUUUUUUCAUUAUGAGAAAGAUAAUAUUGUACAGAAAUAUUUUUCAAAGCAGCAUUAAAAUUUCUGAAUUGCCAAUC
RNAcentral lists this small RNA (602 nucleotides) under Pongo abelii (Sumatran orangutan). RNAcentral's name for it is "processed transcript". Lineage: Eukaryota; Metazoa; Chordata; Mammalia; Primates; Hominidae. The record is from RNAcentral.